AUUGAACGCUGGCGGCAGGCCUAACACAUGCAAGUCGAACGGUAACAGGAAGAAGCUUGCUUCUUUGCUGACGAGUGGCGGACGGGUGAGUAAUGUCUGGGAAACUGCCUGAUGGAGGGGGAUAACUACUGGAAACGGUAGCUAAUACCGCAUAGCGUCGCAAGACCAAAGAGGGGGACCUUCGGGCCUCUUGCCAUCGGAUGUGCCCAGAUGGGAUUAGCUAGUAGGUGGGGUAACGGCUCACCUAGGCGACGAUCCCUAGCUGGUCUGAGAGGAUGACCAGCCACACUGGAACUGAGACACGGUCCAGACUCCUACGGGAGGCAGCAGUGGGGAAUAUUGCACAAUGGGCGCAAGCCUGAUGCAGCCAUGCCGCGUGUAUGAAGAAGGCCUUCGGGUUGUAAAGUACUUUCAGCGGGGAGGAAGGGAGUAAAGUUAAUACCUUUGCUCAUUGACGUUACCCGCAGAAGAAGCACCGGCUAACUCCGUG
This 490-nucleotide ribosomal RNA is filed under the name uncultured bacterium. Its description in RNAcentral is "partial 16S ribosomal RNA". It matches the Rfam family "Bacterial small subunit ribosomal RNA", at positions 30 to 507 of the family's 1533-position model. The record is from RNAcentral.